AGUCUUGUUGAAGUAGUAGAAGAUGAGGGCUGGUAGGGUGAGCACGUACAAAAAGUCGGCCAGAGCCAAAUUGAACAUGUACACGGAGAUGCCGCUCCAAGGCUUCAUGUGGAAAACGAACAUCCAGAUAGCCACGCUAUUGCCUAGGAAGCCUAUGAUGAACACUAAAAUGUAGACGGCCGGCAGGUAGUAGAACUGGAAACCAGUCUUGGUCAGGGCACAUUGGAAUGAAGAGGAAACUGCUGCAGUUGAGGCUACAGUACUGUUUCUCCAAAGCGAGCCCAGGCCAGUCAGGAAGGCAGCAUCCGUCCCGUUGGGGACAGCCGACCAAGGCACCUCGGUCAUCCUCUUCUUUCCAACUCAGGCAGCUACUAGGAAAGGCAGACCGCGGCGAGCCGGCAGCAGCGGCGAGAGACUCAGAGCGCAUCGGAGGCGCCGGCCAGGGGCAGGGACCGCGCGCGGGAGUUCCCCACGGGUCGGAGCGCGCAGGGGCUCGCCCACGCCGGCUCUGGCCGCGCGUUUGUCGCGGGCCAUGAAAUUCGCCCGGAGCUGCGACCGAUCCAAGCUGAAGGACGGGCGCGCAACUUCCCGGUCCAGCUGGCCGCGCUGAGGUUACACAACAGGACGCGCAGGGCACCUCCACCAAGUUUGCAAGUGCGCUCCCGCGCAGGGCGACUGAUAGGCGCUGCUCAGAGCGCCUGGGGCGCGGCGGGUCAAGUCCAAGCAGUUCGGCGGUUCCCAGCGGCCCGAGGGCGCAGGCCAACCACCUCCUCUCUGUGAUCAACUUUGCCUGGCCAUCUGCCUACUCCCUACCUUACAACCCGGGACCUUCACCGGGGACGCCGCGACUCUUCUUCCGACCGCAUUCUGAGCCCGCGCUCAACCUUGGAGGUCUUUGGGAGAGCGCGUGGCCUCGGACCCUGGCGUACUACCUACCCUGUACCCCGCUCGCAGUCCAUGAAGGCUGCAGCUGGUCUCGGCGCUCGGCUGGGUCUCGAGUGCAGGGGGCAGGAGAGAGAGCCAGGCUCCCAGCGGGGUGGGCGGAGCCUGGGAGCCCGGGCGAGUCCGUGCACCGCGGGGAAGCAAGGGGCGUGUCUCCGCCGUGCAGGCUUGGGGCCGCCCGCUCAGGGCUGGACGCCCAAGGCGGGAGGUGGCCUCUGGAAGCAGAGAUCGCGGUGCCCCUGCACGCCUGGCACGGCCGCCACCACUCGAAUCAGUGGUCAGAACAAAAGGUGCUCUAGGGCAGCGGUGGCUUCUGGCCAGCGUAUGGCUGGAGGGGUUUCCUCGGUCAUCCACCGGCUAGCUCUGUAAAGUGAAGUUGCUGACACACUGAAAACCUUCUGGACGCUGGCAGCGUUCUGUCUAAAGCUUUGAGCUGAGCAGUCUGAGACAGACAUCUCCAGAGCCUCCCCGGAACUCGCAAGGUGUUUGCAGGCUCCAGACAACCAGCGGUUUGCAGGUGGGCACGCCCUGGCCCUGCACAGCGCCUUGCUUUGCCCAACGCGUGUAGGAACCUGCUGAUCCCAGAGGGUGCCAGCUCUGAAUGAGUGAGGGUGGUAAGCGGCAUGGGCAAGUCGCUUUCUGCCCUUCAUGUCUGUUUGUUUUUAUUGUUGUUUGCUUUAUUACUACUCCAAAUACUAUUUUUUGCACUACUUAGAAAAAUGCUAAUACUCCAGCAUCACUGGUAACAUUAUUGUGAGAAUGUACAUAAGAGCCUGGUCUAACUACUUAGUUAAUGCAGCACACAUCAUCAGUCCAACUUGACUGCUAACACUUGCUGGAAAGAACAAGUGCCCUCCGUCAAACCUCCAGUUGCCAUUUACAUACAUUUAAAUAAUAGAGACUACAGUGAAAGUGAUUCAGAAUCAGGCUGAAUAUUAAACAUGGCUUUAUAAAGAAAGAGGGUUCAUUUGUUGAGUGAUAACUUUACAGUUUGGCUACUAGAGGAACUGACAUUUUAAUUUUAUUUCUUACAAUGUCUGUUCCUCUAGUAGAUACCUUUUAAAUGUAGACAGAGACCAAUGUAAUUAUUUUAUUUAUUGUAAAUCUUAGUCUAGGGCUCCAAGUGCAUAAAAAAAUGUGGUCAAUAUAUUCCAAAAAAUGUGUUUAUAUUUAAUUGUAAACUAAAUGGAUUGUUUCCUACCUGAAGACAUAAUUAAACAGACCCACCCAAGAAGGGAACC
RNAcentral lists this long non-coding RNA (2183 nucleotides) under Mus pahari (shrew mouse). RNAcentral's name for it is "lncRNA (MGP_PahariEiJ_G0003456.1)". Lineage: Eukaryota; Metazoa; Chordata; Mammalia; Rodentia; Muridae. The record is from RNAcentral.